RNAcentral lists this unclassified non-coding RNA (300 nucleotides) under uncultured fungus. Its description in RNAcentral is "partial contains 5.8S ribosomal RNA, internal transcribed spacer 2, and large subunit ribosomal RNA". Lineage: Eukaryota; Fungi. The record is from RNAcentral.
AACGCAUAUUGCACUCCUUUGGGAGUAUGCCUGUUUGAGAAUCUAUAGUAUUUCUUUUUCUAGUUUACUAGAAAAGAUUUGGCGCGUCUCUGGUUUUAGAGUGCGCUUAAAGCUAUAGCUAGUCGCCAAAAGAGCGCCAAAGCAAAACUGUUUGAAGCUCAUUAGAGUAACCUACUAUUUUGUUUUGGGGAAACGUUCCUAGGUAUCUAGCCCAAUGGAUUCUUUUUAAGAACCAAGGAGGUUACCCAAAGUAACCCGAACCAUGGUCUCAAAUCAGGUAGGAGGACCCGCUGAACUUAA